CGUCGCGUCGUGACGUCAUAUUUCAAAAUGGCAGAGCCCGCGGAAAGACCCCCUGGAGUCGACUCCAUUUCCCAAGAAAAGAUGUCAACAGCGCGACUUGUAACAAUUAUAAGGCCGAGGAGGGUUAUUUGAACACACACACCAUUCAAUUAUUAUAAAUGAAAGUCACGUUUUUUAACCGCUCCGGUCUCGUCCCAGCGGAAGUGACGCUAGCACGUCAUCAGAAUACAACAGGUUGCUAGCUAACACGCCUCCUAUCAUGUCAGCGCUGUUAUUUGUUCCAAUGUCAUUCAUUCCUUCUCAUUUACAUCAACACGACGAGAGAGACAUUCUGCCGCUAGACGAAGGUCACCGAGCAGCGACGAAGUUUGCAUUUUCGGUAGAGGUCCAGGGAGCCACGAGGGCGGUGCUAAAGAGACGCGGGUUGCUGACCCCCGGCCUACACCCGAGACUGGCCGCCAGUUCAUCACAGGACACAUGAACAAGCCUUCGCCCUCAAAUCAGAGAACAUCUCCUCAUCCAGAAACAACAACACCAGAAAUGUGUCCCGUGAAAAACCGUCCGACCAGAACUCUAAUAACUAAAGUUCCUUGGGUGAAUAAUGAAAUGGCAACAGCAGAGGAUGGAUGUCCCAUAACAAGAAGGUGGAGAAAAAGAAGAAGCUUAUCGACUACGGUGUCGGCACGGACUACAAAGGCGGACCUGCACAAAUUUUCAGGUACCAGAAGGUAAGAAAAGUUUCUUUUGCAUAAUAUUGCGAAACAAAACACCAGAAAAUAUGUCUUACCUUAUACACACACCAUAAUAAUACUCCUAUGUUGAAGCACAGUACAAUCCAUCAAGCGGUGCAGUUUCAUAGCUGACCAAAGUCCUACUAAAACAUUUUGAUAGAUUUUUGAGCGCCGUGUGUAAUGUUCUAUAUUUUCAAUGGAGCAUAUACAAUGUUGGUGUUGUUUACUUGAGUCAUAUUGCGGUCUACACGAAAUCAAAUCAAAUCAAUAAUGGAGCAGCAUCUCCUCAUCCGGAAACAACCACACCGGAAAUGUGUCCCGUGAAAAACCGUUCAACCGGAACUCUCUAAUAACUAAACUUCCUUGGGUGAAUAAUGUAAACUCACUACACCGGUAUGUUUUAGCGCUUUCAUGGCAAGUUUACUGACAGAUAUAAGUGAGAAAUUGACACUACUUUAUAUUAGAAAUGGCAACAGCGGAGGAUGAAUGUCACAUAACAAGAAGAUAGAGAAAAAGAAGAAGCUUAUUAACUACAAAGGCGGACACACAAUUUUUCAGGACUCAUGCAGAUCCCAAAUACAGAUCAGCAGGUACCAGAAGUUAAGAAAAGUUGCAUAAUAUUGCGAAACAAAACGCCAGAUAAUGUCUUACCUUAUACACACACCAUAAUAAUAGUGGUAUGUUUAAUGCGCCGACAAUCCUUCAAGCGGUGCGGCUUCAUAGCUGACCAAAGUCGUGCUAAAACAUUUUGAUAGAUUUUUGAGCGCCGUGUCUAAUGUUCUAUAUUUUCAACGGAACAUUUAAAAUGUUGCUGUUGUUUACUUAAAAGCCAUCAUAGUGCAGGCUACACGUAUCUCUUAUGUUUGACUGCCAUCUACUGCUCACACUUAUAAUUACACCAUGUACCAAAUAAAAUAGCCUCGAGGUGGGUAAGCUCAACCAAACUUGUUCAUUACAUUAGGCGCAACUGUGUAAGGCGCACUGAGAAAUAAAAAAGGAUUUUAAAUGCGCCUUAUAGUCCGGAAAUUACGGUAAACGCAUUGGCCAAAAAGUGCAUUGUGUGUCCUCGCCGCGAUCUAUUUUACAUUGUUGAAAUGUCGGCAAAGCAAAUGUGAGUAUGUGAAGAACGAACCUGGAGUGAAACAGCGCACAAUUCAACGUCAAGUUCGGUCUCGAUACCUUUCAUCUUUACCAUGGAA
Entelurus aequoreus (snake pipefish) is the source of this 1930-nucleotide long non-coding RNA. RefSeq lists it as uncharacterized. The record is from RefSeq and is a predicted model, not a curated record. Lineage: Eukaryota; Metazoa; Chordata; Actinopteri; Syngnathiformes; Syngnathidae. The transcript has 4 exons.